GAUGAACGCUGGCGGCGUGCCUAAUACAUGCAAGUCGAACGCUGGAGAUCUAGCUUGCUAGAUCGAAGGAGUGGCGAACGGGUGAGUAAUACAUAAGCAACCUACCCACGAAGACUGGGAUAAUCUCUGGAAACGGGGACUAAUACCGGAUAGGUAAUCGGAAGGCAUCUUCUGGUUAUUAGAGGUUAAAAACACUGGUGGAUGGGCUUAUGGCGCAUUAGUUAGUUGGUGAGGUAACGGCCCACCAAGACGAUGAUGCGUAGCCGGCCUGAGAGGGUGAACGGCCACAUUGGGACUGAGACACGGCCCAGACUCCUACGGGAGGCAGCAGUAGGGAAUUUUCGGCAAUGGGGGCAACCCUGACCGAGCAACGCCGCGUGAGUGAAGACGGCCUUCGGGUUGUAAAGCUCUGUUGUAAGGGAAGAACGGUAGAUAGAGAAUAUCUAAGUGACGGUACCUUACCAGAAAGCCACGGCUAACUACGUG
This 486-nucleotide ribosomal RNA is filed under the name uncultured bacterium. Its description in RNAcentral is "partial 16S ribosomal RNA". It matches the Rfam family "Bacterial small subunit ribosomal RNA", at positions 28 to 507 of the family's 1533-position model. The record is from RNAcentral.